GGAUGAACGUUGGCGGCGUGCCUAACACAUGCAAGUCGAACGAUAGUCGCAAGACUAUAGUGGCGCACGGGUGAGUAACACGUAGCUUACCAGCCUCUCAGCGCGGGAUAACGGCUCGGAAAGAGGUGCUAAUACCGCAUAAGCUCACGGGAUGUAGAGACUAGUGAGAAAGGUGCAAAUCACUGAGAGACGGGGCUGCGGCCAUCAGCUAGNGGUGCGGUAACGCGCACCAAGGCGACGACGGGUAGGGACCU
Molecule: ribosomal RNA, 254 nt
Filed under: uncultured bacterium
Lineage: Bacteria
Description: partial 16S ribosomal RNA
Rfam family: Bacterial small subunit ribosomal RNA
Source: RNAcentral